This is a long non-coding RNA of Herpailurus yagouaroundi (jaguarundi), 1683 nucleotides long. RefSeq lists it as uncharacterized. The record is from RefSeq and is a predicted model, not a curated record. Lineage: Eukaryota; Metazoa; Chordata; Mammalia; Carnivora; Felidae. The transcript is spliced from 7 exons.
AUCAACCUAGGCCAAGUUCCGACAACUGUCCUAGUUUCAGUCUAGAGCCUCUAAUUACUAUGAUUUCUCCUGUGGUGGCCUGAAGAGCAAAGGUAUUUUGCGUUCAGCGAGAUUCCAAGGGGUGCGUGAGUCUUGCAGAAGCAUUUCUAGUAUGGACUAAAAAAGCCUAUGCUUCGCAGUUGCCAUAGAAACCUGACGUCAUAGGGCGACCGUGACGAAUUUUUAAUAAGCCCUGGUUUGGAGAGCAGGUCUCGACCUCAGAAGUUUGGGACUCAGCUGAGAGUGUGGGGUCCCGCUGAGGGGGCUGAACCGCCUUGGAGUGUGAGGAGACAGAAGAAUCCAGAUCCAGCUUUUCCCGAUUUGGGGCUCAGUGCCCCGGCUGUCUUGUAUGUAAAGCCAUUGUGGUCCCUCCCAGCUCCAGUGAGUGUAAGUGUUCCUGCUGGGGUGUCCUGGAGCUGCUUUCCUCUAAAGACAAGGAUGCGGGAGGUUAAGACAGUGGAACAACAGACAGGCAUGUGAAUUCUGAGCCCUGAAAACAGGAACCGAUAGAGAAGAACAAAGUGUGAUGUAGAGUGUGCUAGACUGGUUCCUAGAGCAAGAAUGAAGAGAUCAGGGUCCCAUCAUUGGGACACUUUAGAUGCUGAAUUUCUGGGACUCAGGAUGAAAAUUGGACUAAACUUGCUUGAAAUAGAGUCCAUUUGAGGUCAAGCCUCAACACCUCAUAGGUUGUACAAGGAAAAUACUUCAAAGCUGUUUUAAUCCACGUGUGUUGAUUACCCUGGGCCCUGGUCUGAAGGAGCCUAUGACUGAAGUUCUCCCUGAAUCUAAGCGUUGAAGCAUUUUCCCCUCUGGCUGCUGUGGGCUGAGUGCUGGGCAACCUCAUGCAGCUUUUACCUUUCUCUCUCAGUUGAACAUCAAAGCAGUGUGUGGACUCUGACCCCAGAAAGAAGAGUUGAAAGAGAAAAACCAAAUAUGAUGUUCAGUGUGCUUGACAAUUUCCUGGAGCAAGAGUGAAGAGAACAGGAUCCCAUCACUGAGACAUUUUAGGUAGAAUUCUUCUGUGAAACAAAGUACCCCUCAGCGACUACAUGGUUGUACUGAAGAAUAGUCCAUAUAGAAGGGAAGGAUGAAUGCUUACUUCUUUUGCAGUAUUUCCACUUUUCAAAACAAUGUGUUGUUUUUCCAGAAUACUUCAAAGGCUUUGUUGCAAGCAAGGUACUGUUUCCCCAGAAACUGUCUUUUAAGACUAUGUGAUAAGAAGGAAUUCAACCACUUACAUUAGAGGCACCCUGGGUGAGUUCUCCAUCCUGUUACUUCCUCAGUAUCUUUCGGUUUCAGAGCAUUUACUCUUAUUCUGGGUCAGGAUAAUGCUGCUGACCAAUCACAAAUGAUGCAGGAACAGAUAUCUGGAGCCACCAUGGCCAUGCCCAGGCACCAACACAGGUUUCAAGACAGAGUAGGAAGUUUCAGAACUGACACAUCACUAGUGGGUACUAAAUGAUAUCAAAGAUGAGCUCAUGGAUGAAGACUGGUGAGUCCAGUAGUGAAAAUAAGAGAAAGGGGAAACCCAAAGCUAGGGAAAAUAUACAAAACUUAGCAAAAACUCCAUUGGUGGAAAAAGCCUUGCCAAUUAUACCUAAUUAUUAUGUACUUUCGGCCUGCCUUCUAAACACAAAAAACUCU